UGGGGAAUUUUGGACAAUGGGCGCAAGCCUGAUCCAGCAAUGCCGCGUGAGUGAAGAAGGCCUUCGGGUUGUAAAGCUCUUUCAGUCGAGAAGAAAAGGCUGCAGUGAAUAACUGUAGUUUAUGACGGUAUCGACAGAAGAAGCACCGGCUAACUACGUGCCAGCAGCCGCGGUAAUACGUAGGGUGCGAGCGUUAAUCGGAAUUACUGGGCGUAAAGGGUGCGCAGGCGGUUUUGUAAGUCAGAUGUGAAAUCCCCGGGCUUAACCUGGGAAUUGCGUUUGAAACUACAAGACUAGAGUGUGGCAGAGGGAGGUGGAAUUCCAUGUGUAGCAGUGAAAUGCGUAGAGAUAUGGAAGAACAUCGAUGGCGAAGGCAGCCUCCUGGGUUAACACUGACGCUCAUGCACGAAAGCGUGGGGAGCAAACAGGAUUAGAUACCCUGGUAGUCCACGCCCUAAACGAUGUCAACUAGUUGUCGGGCCUUACUAGGCUUGGUAACGAAGCUAACGCGUGAAG
Molecule: ribosomal RNA, 516 nt
Filed under: uncultured bacterium
Lineage: Bacteria
Description: bacterial SSU rRNA
Rfam family: Bacterial small subunit ribosomal RNA
Source: RNAcentral